UGCCUACUAUGUGCUCAGCACUGUACUAGGCACUAAGGGGUGCAGUGAUACAAAUGUGAAAUAUUUGUCCUGCCCUCAAGGAGCUUACACUUUAAUUCCGGAAAUAAAUACAAAUGUAAAACUACAAUACAGACUUCUAGAAAAUAAUUGCAGAGCAACAUAUCAGUAAGUGCAUGGAUCACAGUACAGACUCAAGAGACGUGCUGAGACAGGACAGAGUAAGGGAGAUCUCAGUGUGAAUGAAGCCCAUCAGAGGGCUCACUCAAAAGGUAUAAAGAUAGGUUUUGAAGGGAGUAAUAAACAUGAGCUGGGGCCAAAGAGUAAACGAACAAACAAACAAACAGAAUUCCAUGAUAAAGGCACAGAGGCAAGGGCUUGUAAGAUAGUAGAAAGCUGUAAAAGUUUGCGCGUGAUGAGUCAAGCUGAACAUGCUAGAGAGUAAUGAAGCCGAGGCAGAUUAGGCAUGGAGGACAACGUAAUGGAAAACUUGGAACACCACUCUCUGAAAGGAAUUACCUAAGUGUGGAAUAAAAACGAAGCAUCAUGAAAAUGGAGUUUGAAGACCAUCACUUUAGAAGUCUUAUACAAGAUAAGGACUCUGAGAGCAAGCAAAGUGAAAAGAAUUACACUAAUCUAGGCCUUAUGUGAUGUGUACCUGCAUGAAAGGACAUAAGGGGGUGGCAGAGAAGUAAACGAUUAAGGCUUAAAGAGACUAAGAAUAGGCUCGAGAGCAAGAUUACGAACCAGGAGAAUAGAGGUCAAAGAUCACGGUGUAACUUCAAGGUUGGUAUAAAAAAUAAAAGGUGGUGAGUCUUUUCAGGGCAGCUAUGCUGUUUAGAAAGAAAAUGAGAGCUAGGUACAGUAGUGUACAACUUUAAUACCGUAUCACUCUGGGAGGCCGAGGCAGAAGGAUCACAAGUUUGAGCCUAGUACAGGCGUCUUAACGAUAACCUGUUUCAAAAUGAAAAAAUAAGCUAGGCAUUUAGCUCAGUGGCGCCACCACCUGCCUUGCAAGCACAACGUCCUGCGUUUGAUCCCGGUACCAAAGGGAAAACAAAAACAAAAAGAUGAAAUAAAAGAGGCUGUGGUAGCUUAGUGUCAAGGCCCUGGGUUUAUCCUCGAUACUGCAAAAAUAAAAAGAAAAUCAGAGUUAGAAUAAGAGAGUGAUGAGUUUUGUUUUCAAAAUCAACUUGUAUACAUCUCUGUGGAAAAUCCCACGUAUCACGAGAUGUUACACAGGAUGGGAAAUAUGAAGUCACUUAAAUGUAUAAACAAUAUGGAUAAACAGGGAUAUAGAAAAAGUAGUGAGCAAAAAUAAGAUACAUUAUUGAGUAAAGAGUGGAAGAAAAAAAAACUAAAAAAAGGAUCCCACGAGUCAAAGGUGAAGAGAAUUCCUGAAAUCAGGGAAAAAAAUUCAACAGUAAGAGAUAUACAUGAGAUUAAGAAGGACAAAACCUUUUAAAAGCCUUAGUAUUUAUACAAAGGCACCCUGAGGAUAUUUCAAUGGAAUGAUGAGUAAAAAAAUCAGGAGAAAUUUGAAGACUAAAUUAAGGAGCAAACUGGUUAAAAAUGGAAGAUGUUUGAAAAAUCAGUAAUGAUUGAGGAAAGAUAGAAUGGCAGCUGGACAUGGGUGAUAAGGUGGAAAGUUUCCAUGUUUUAUGUUGUUUGUGAACUUAACUAUUGUCAUCUUCACUGUCCAUCUGCCCAGCCUAGAACAUGGAUAAUUUUUCUCCUCAGAAUUCUUUUGUUCCUUAGACAGUUUAGAGAAAAUGUAUCUGGUAUAAGUUAUUACUGCUUCAUCCUCCCAGUACUUUUAAAUAUUUUAUUUACAUAAUUUAGCUUCUAGUAUGCAUCAAAAGCAUUGACAUUUAAAGAUGAUAUAGCCCCAAAUGCUAUUUUCAACCAAUCUUCGAGUAAUUGCAAUGGAUUUGCACUACACUGCACAUUACCUGACCCAGGACCUCUCAUAACCAGGCUUAUGUGCUUUCUAAAUGACUGGCCAGAGUUCGUGUUCACUGUAGGUAGCAGAGCAGUGGUCAGCACAGGCUCUACAGCCAGGCUGGUAGGGUAGGAACUUAAUCCAUCGUAGGCAGGAAAUGCUUAAUGUGGGGCUUGGCAGCUAUUAUUACCUGGAACUUAGAAGCAAGAGUAAAGCUAAACGGCUAGCUAAUAAAGCACCGUAUUUCUACCACACCACCCUGCCUCACUAAGAAGAUCUUUGCUCUUCAGUGCCUUUCCCAGGACUGUGUUGGAUGGCAACAGUUAUCCAAGAACUACUGUAUCAUGCCAGGUGCUAAAAUGAGAAGCUAAGAAUGAGCCAAAAAAUACCAGUGAAAAGUUCACUUCAGAUUAAAAGCAUAAAAUCAAAAUCUGCAAAAUAAAAGAUGCCUUUCAUAGUUAAGAGCUUGAAAUAAUGUCAUAUAGGUUGAUCAAUGAUCUUCUAAUGCUAACUUGAGACCAAGAAUGACUUCAGCUUAUAUCCUCAAAGUAUCCAGUCUUUUUCUGUGGUCUUACACCAUUAGGCUUUUUCUUGUUUUUUUCCUUUGGUACUGGGGAUUGAACUCGGGACCUUGUACUUGCAAAUCAGGCGGCGGAACCACUGAGCUAAAUCCCUGGUCCCCAUUAGGCUUUUUCUUUUGGUACCAGGGAUCGAACUGGGGACUUUGCGCUUUUGAGGCAGGAGACAGAAGCACUGAGCUAAAUCCCCGGCCCACCAUUAGGUCUUUUCUAUACAUAUGCUGAAUCAGUUUUUAUGAUUCUUUCAAGUGACAAUCUUUUCUCACACUCACUAACACUAAUCAUCAGUGUAACUAAUCUCUCUAGUCAUGUUACUUUCUUUUCUCUGAAUUUGUGACAGAUGUUAAUUAAUAAUUCUGAGAUUUAAAUGAUGUGGCUAUAUAUCACUCUGGGUACUGCUGCCAAAAGAGAUGCCAGAAUACAGACAUUUUAUUAUGUUGCUCUGCUCAUCUGAAGUAUUUGAAAGGAGCGUGUGUACACAUAUGCAUGUGUGCAAACAUGUGCAUCUUCCCUUUGACCGUGGACUCACCUUAUGUAAGAGCUGCACACAGUGGAGCACUGGGACCAGGCAGAAUCAUACCACAGAGGAUAAGGCACAACCGAAGCAAAGGGCAAGGACCUGGAUACAACCACACUUACUUGAUUCUGGUUUGUGAGAAUUUCAACAGCAGGGAAUUAGGAAUGGUAAUUUAUAUGUCAAAAAAAGAAGAGGGGCUGGGGGAUGCAGCUCAGUGGCAGAGUAUUUGCCUAGCAUGCACAAGGCCCUGGGUUCAAUUCUCAGUACCACAAAAGAGAAAGAAAAAAAAGGAGGAUAAAAAAAUAAUAAAAAGGACUGUUCUGAAAAAAUUAAUCAAGGAAACUAGGAUGACACGGGAGGAAUAGGUACCAAUGGCUCCAUGAAACAAAUAGUAAUAAUCUCAGAAUUCCUAAUGGUCAAGGUGGGUCAUACAGACAUAGAGAUAUUAUGAAGAAAGAAUUUAUGAAUCAAAGGUUGACCUCAAUGAGGUUUUAUGACUGAUUUUUAACACAUUGAUCAGAAAACAUCAUGACUGUUGUACCUUUACAGGAUAGUCACACCCUAAAUGGUGUUAUUCCUCUUGGAAGUUUUGUCAGAAUGUAUAUAAUUGGUCUUCUUAAUAGACUGGAAUAAUUUCAAAUCUGAGGGUUAAUUUUUGAAAGCAAAAGUUAUUGAAUUCGAAGUUCAGUGACUAAGUAGGUAAUCAACUGGUCAAAACAGAAUUCAGUUAGGAGUAAUAGAGGUUUUUCUUGAGUGGUUUAUAAAAUGGGAAUUCUAAGAAUGUUCCACAUAUUUGGAAGAAUAGUAACACUAUUAAAUAACAGUACUUGAGAAUAUGUAGCACUAAGCAAUUUGAAGGGUACUCUAUAUUGAAUUUGGCAUGUUACUUUAAAUCAGUCUCAAUCAAGAUAUAUCCUGUACAGGUACAAAUUUGCAAUGAUGAAUGUGACCAUCAUGUAUACCUAACAUGUAGCAAUAAACUUGAUUAAUUAGAAAAUAUCAGUCUCAUUGCUAUACGCAUCCCUAGGAAUACUAAAAGCCCUCAAAGAUGGUACAUAGUGCCUGGAGCUCAUAGUCUAACCCUUCAGAGGUCAUGGCUGACCCAGAGAGAUACAAACUCUUCUUACAUACUGCUAGCACCUGACCUCACCCUACAGGGUUAAUCAUGUGUCCUGUUAGGAGAUUACAAACACUAAUUACUGAAGGAGUGUACCACAGUUCAGAAGAAAGAGGAAUUGUGAGGUAAGGUAUCUGAUAGAUCAUCAACAUGGGUAUUAAAUCAUAUACGCAAAUGGCAAGGACCUGAUGGAGAGUGAUGUGUGAAGAGCUCCAGCCUUUUGAGGUGGGUCCAGGGCAACCACAGGGCCAAGAGCCCAUCUAGUCAAGAUAUGUGUGCAGGUGGACAGGAACCUGAGAGAGUAGUACAUAGCAGACCAAAGGGAUGAUGUAAGGUUUGUGAACACUUUUAUGUCUUCUUCAUUACUCUGCCUACUUUCUGUCCUACAUGAUUCCAUAACUAGGAUAGUGAAA
Heterocephalus glaber (naked mole-rat) is the source of this 4564-nucleotide long non-coding RNA. NCBI's taxonomy places the organism in Eukaryota, Metazoa, Chordata, Mammalia, Rodentia, Bathyergidae. The record is from Ensembl.